AUUCGCCUCCCAGAUGUCCUAAAUUUAUUUCCUUCGAAGUUUUGGUAAAAUGGGUAGAGCAUUGAAACAAUUCAUUGAAAUUAGCCACCUUAUUGUCAUUUUUAUUUCACAAAUAAAAGCAAUCAGAAGAUGAGUGUAACACAGUUAAUGAUGGGCAAGGAGGAGGCGAGCCGCCUCCACUUUUCUGGCAGCAAAUGGGGACACUCCUCCACCCCUGGUCGCGGCCCUACCGCUCCAGGCGGUCGGGGUAUCUAGUCCCCACUUGCCGCGCGGACGGCGGCUGUUCCCCGCAUCCGGGCGGUCGGCCUACUCCGUCACCCGGCAGAUGGCAGCGGCGCUCCCCUGGGUGGACGGCGGUGUUGAGGACUCUGCAACGGGCAUCCCUCCUCCUUUCUGGGUUUUCGGCACCGAUGUAACACAGUUAAUGAUGGGCAAGGAGGAGGCGAGAACCGGCAUGUCAACAUAUAUCAUAAUUUUAUGCAAACUUAAACCAAAAACACAUAUACAAACACACACAUGACGGACAUGCCCGUAAUUCUCUCUCUCUCUUGAACCAUCGCCACCGGCCGCCUUUAUUCCUUCAGACCCGGCCCCGCCCCCCUCCGCUCCACAAUGAGGAACUGCAAUCAAAAAGGAACAGUUCCCCUUAUAGGACUGUAAUAUUGGUCCUAAUGUUGCGCAUUUCGCAGGUUGUCACCGGAUCCGGCCCAAAAGGAUGUAUAUCGUCGACAUGAUUAACACAGGCUAACGAUUGGGGGAUCUGUGAGUUGCUGAUGAAAUUCAAGGGUAGGCUGGCAUUUCGCCAGUUCAUACCAACUAAACGUCACCGAUUUGGGGUCAAAUAUUUUGUCUUAUGUGAUGUACUCACCGGUUACAUGCAAGACAUAAUCAUAUACACAGGAUUGACCACUGACAUCCAGCAUUAUGAAGGCAUUGGAUUCUCUGGGUCUGUUUUUCAUGACAUUACUUGCCCCAUACUUGGAAAAAGGGUAACAUCCUGUUUGUGGACAAAUGGUACAGUAGUCCCACACUGAUCCAGCUCCUCCUGUCCCUGGACACAGGAGCUUGUGGGACUGCAGGAAGGGAAUGCCAACAUUCACCUGCAAAAUGACAAAGGGCCAGGUUGAAUGUAAAGAAAAUGAAACACAACUGGCAGUGAAAUGGCAUGAGAAGAGGGAUGUUCAUCUUCUUAUCAUGGUCCAUCCAGCCACCAGAAUGGUCGAUCAUAUCACCAGAGAAAAAAGAUGAAGCCUCUCUGUGUGCUGGAAUAUAACAAAAAGAUGGGGGCAGAGGACAAGGCUGACAUGAUGAAAAGCUUCCUUGAUUGUACCAGAAAAACCACCAAAUGGUACAAGAAUGUCUUCGUUCACCUCCUUGACACUGCAGUAUUGAACAGCCACAUUGUCCACCACCAAUUUACGGGAUGAACCUGAUGAGAGGACUGCUAGAAGAGCACAGCACACCUCGGUGUCCAUCCAAAGCAGGCCGCCCUGCCUUGGACACUCCACUGUGUCUGACAGCUAGGCAUUUCCCCUCUGAAGUCCCACAGACAGCUUCCAAGGGCAGCAGGACCAGCCGGCAUUACAAGGUCUGCCUAUCCAGCACUCGCAGGACAAAGCAGGGGUCCCUCACCAAAUUCAUGUGUGUGGAAUGCAAUACUCCCUUGUGUGUUGCCCUAUGUUUUGAGGAGUAGCACACUGAAGCAUUACUGAGAACUGAAAUA
Molecule: long non-coding RNA, 1723 nt
Organism: Xyrauchen texanus (razorback sucker)
Lineage: Eukaryota; Metazoa; Chordata; Actinopteri; Cypriniformes; Catostomidae
Exons: 3
Source: RefSeq, a predicted model, not a curated record